This 320-nucleotide long non-coding RNA is filed under the name Carlito syrichta (Philippine tarsier). RNAcentral's name for it is "Myocardial infarction associated transcript exon 5 conserved region 3 (ENSTSYG00000034090.1)". It matches the Rfam family "Myocardial infarction associated transcript exon 5 conserved region 3", at positions 46 to 382 of the family's 382-position model. From Rfam's summary of the family: MIAT (myocardial infarction associated transcript), also known as RNCR2 (retinal non-coding RNA 2) or Gomafu, is a noncoding RNA. Single nucleotide polymorphisms (SNPs) in MIAT are associated with a risk of myocardial infarction. The record is from RNAcentral. Lineage: Eukaryota; Metazoa; Chordata; Mammalia; Primates; Tarsiidae.
NNNNNNNCUCAAGCCUCACCUCCAGUAGGCGCCUCGGCCGCUCUGGGCCAGCCUCUGGCUCCUUCGCACUAACUCUUGCUCUCGCCCAGCUGACCCCCGCCUUGCCCUGGCCGCCGCAGGGGCUGGCCACUCACCACCAGCCCGGCCGGCCGGCGGGGCUCCGACGGGCUCGUCAUUAACCUCUCCCUCGCCUCGACUAACUCCUGACUUCCCGGUCUGUUCCUUUCAGCAGAAACUAAUGGCUUGCGGAUUUCUUUCCGACUAACCACAGGUCUAACACGCCUCGUUACGUUGGCAGCUUGGAUGUCAGCAUGGCUGGG